Molecule: ribosomal RNA, 252 nt
Filed under: uncultured bacterium
Lineage: Bacteria
Description: partial 16S ribosomal RNA
Rfam family: Bacterial small subunit ribosomal RNA
Source: RNAcentral
UACGGAGGAUGCGAGCGUUAUCCGGAUUUAUUGGGUUUAAAGGGUGCGUAGGCGGUCCGUUAAGUCAGCGGUAAAAUUGCGGGGCUCAACCCCGUCGAGCCGUUGAAACUGGCAGACUUGAGUUGGCGAGAAGUACGCGGAAUGCGCGGUGUAGCGGUGAAAUGCAUAGAUAUCACGCAGAACUCCGAUUGCGAAGGCAGCAUACCGGCGCCCUACUGACGCUGAGGCACGAAAGCGUGGGUAUCGAACAGG